This 500-nucleotide ribosomal RNA is filed under the name uncultured bacterium. Its description in RNAcentral is "bacterial SSU rRNA". It matches the Rfam family "Bacterial small subunit ribosomal RNA", at positions 28 to 531 of the family's 1533-position model. The record is from RNAcentral.
GACGAACGCUGGCGGCGUGCCUAAACUAUGCGAGUCGUGCGGAGCUUAUUUUGAACCGCAAGGGGAUGAGUAAGCUGAGCGGCGAACGGGUGAGUAACGCGUGAACAACCUACCCGCAGGACCGGGAUAACUCCGAGAAAUCGGGGCUAAUACUGGAUAUGAAAUCUGCCCGCAUGAGCAGAUUUGGAAAAGAGCAAUCCACCUGCGGAGGGGUUCGCGUCCUAUCAGCUUGUUGGUGGGGUAAUGGCCUACCAAGGCACUGACGGGUAGCCGGCCUGAGAGGGUGACCGGCCACACUGGGACUUAGACACGGCCCAGACUCCUACGGGAGGUAGCAAGUGGGAAUUUUGCACAAUGGGCGAAAGCCUGAUGCAGCGACGCCGCGUGAGGGAUGAAGGCCUUCGGGUCGUAAACCUCUGUUGACAGGGAAGAAAACAAUGACGGUACCUGUCGAGGAAGCCUCGGCUAACUCCGUGCCAGCAGCCGCGGCAAGACGGAGG